Alligator mississippiensis (American alligator) is the source of this 627-nucleotide long non-coding RNA. RefSeq lists it as uncharacterized. NCBI's taxonomy places the organism in Eukaryota, Metazoa, Chordata, Crocodylia, Alligatoridae. The record is from RefSeq and is a predicted model, not a curated record. The transcript has 3 exons.
UGGGAGUAGUUUCCUGCCUCCCCUGGUAUUGACAGACUCACUGUCUGGGACAUCAUUGUCACCUCGCCUCCUGCCUCUGCGGGUUCCUUUCCUCAGGAGUGACACUGACUGCCUUUUCAGCAACCCUUAAAUUCCCUGCACCAAACAGCUGUGUUUGUCGCGGCAGUUCAUGAUUCACCGCUUCUCUGCCCCCUCCAGCUGAUCUCCCUAAUUGCCUCUGGCGCAGCGUUCCUCCCGCUUGGGCUCACCACUCGUCCCUUCCCUGUCCAGGUUCUACCCUGCGCCCAGGAAAGACCGGACAAGGAAGAAACCCUGGUUUCUGGAGCAGCCACACCUGAGGUCCUGACGGGCACCUCCAUCUUCUGUCCAGAUGACAGCAUUGCCACCCCUCUCCAGAGGCAGAGCGAGCACCACUCCCUGGGGCUCCACAGCAGCCACUCCACAGUGAGCUACUUUGUUGCAGGCAGAAUGAUUUUGUGGAGACCUAGCUGACUAAGUGUAUAUACCUGUUAUAAGUUGCCUGAGUGUUAAAGUUGAUAACAUAAUUGCUUUUGUUAUAUGAUAAGUAUUUGCUUUAUCUGCUGGUACAGAUUAUUAUUGAGUUCAUUGAAAAUAUUUUAGUUGUUA